GAUGAACGCUAGCGGCAGGCCUAAUACAUGCAAGACGAACGGUAAGUUGAGUAGCAAUACUUGACCUAGAGUGUCGUACGGGUGCGUAACACGUAUGCAACCUACCCAUAACAGGAGGAUAGCUCCCCGAAAGGGGAAUUAACCCUCCAUAGUAAUAUUGAAUGGCAUCAUUUGGUAUUUAAAACUCCGGUGGUUAUGGAUGGGCAUGCGUCUGAUUAGUUAGUUGGCGGGGUAACGGCCCACCAAGGCGAUGAUCAGUAGGGGAACUGAGAGGUUGAUCCCCCACACUGGCACUGAGAUACGGGCCAGACUCCUACGGGAGGCAGCAGUAGGGAAUAUUGGUCAAUGGAUGGAAGUCUGAACCAGCCAUGCCGCGUGCAGGAAGAAGGUCUUAUGGGUUGUAAACUGCUUUUGCCAGGGGAUAAGAUAGCUGUGCGCAGCGAAUUGCAGGUACCUGGUGAAUAAGCCACGGCUAACUACGUGCCAGCAGCCGCGGUAAUACGUAGGUGGCAAGCGUUGUCCGGAUUUAUUGGGUUUAAAGGGUGCGUAGGCGGCCCUGUAAGUCAGUGGUGAAAUACUCCAGCUUAACUGGAGGGGUGCCAUUGAUACUGCAGGGCUUGAGUGGAGUAGAAGUAGGCGGAAUUGACGGUGUAGCGGUGAAAUGCUUAGAUAUCGUCAAGAACACCGAUAGUGAAGACAGCUUACUAUGCUUCAACUGACGCUGAGGCACGAAAGUGUGGGGAUCAAACAGGAUUAGAUACCCUGGUAGUCCACACUGUAAACGUUGAUGACUCGCUGUUGGCGAUACACAGCCAGCGGCCAAGCGCAAGCGAUAAGUCAUCCACCUGGGGAGUACGCCGGCAACGGUG
RNAcentral lists this ribosomal RNA (869 nucleotides) under uncultured bacterium. Its description in RNAcentral is "bacterial SSU rRNA". It matches the Rfam family "Bacterial small subunit ribosomal RNA", at positions 28 to 896 of the family's 1533-position model. The record is from RNAcentral.